CUAUCUAUCUCUGGAUGUUCUGUAGCUCUGUGGUCACAGCUGAAGGAAAUUCCCAGUAAACUGACUGUAAUAAUAACAUGGAAAAUUACUCAGAGAGACGUUGUGCCAAGGUCAUUGAAAUACUGAUUUUGGGAGUGAAGAAGAAGAGUUAGCAGGGUGAAUCUUCAGAAAAUUCCAAGUGAUUUGGGCCUACUAAGCUAGAGAACUGAAGCAUGAGGCAAAUGAAAAAAUAUGAAGUUCAUAAUCUACGGAGACCUGCAUGUGUACAGCCAUAAAAGCCACAACUGCCAGCUCAGGUGGAAAAAUGUUGAAGUGAGAAAUGUAUUCAAUAAAUAGAAAACACAGCA
This is a long non-coding RNA of Passer domesticus (house sparrow), 347 nucleotides long. RefSeq lists it as uncharacterized. The record is from RefSeq and is a predicted model, not a curated record. NCBI's taxonomy places the organism in Eukaryota, Metazoa, Chordata, Aves, Passeriformes, Passeridae. The transcript is spliced from 3 exons.